This 406-nucleotide ribosomal RNA is filed under the name uncultured bacterium. RNAcentral's name for it is "partial 16S ribosomal RNA". It matches the Rfam family "Bacterial small subunit ribosomal RNA", at positions 30 to 526 of the family's 1533-position model. The record is from RNAcentral.
AUUGAACGCUGGCGGCAGGCCUAACACAUGCAAGUCGAACGAGUGGCGGACGGGUGAGUAAUGUCUGGGAAACUGCCCGAUGGAGGGGGAUAACUACUGGAAACGGUAGCUAAUACCGCAUACCAUCGGAUGUGCCCAGAUGGGAUUAGCUAGUGGGUGGGGUAACGGCUCACCUAGGCAACGCUCCCUAGCUGCGCUGAGAGGAUGACCAGCCACACUGGAACUGAGACACGGUCCAGACUCCUACGGGAGGCAGCAGUGGGGAAUAUUGCACAAUGGGCGCAAGCCUGAUGCAGCCAUGCCGCGUGUGUGAAGAAGGCCUUCGGGUUGUAAAGCACUUUCAGCGAGGAGGCGGUAGUCGAAGAAGAAGCACCGGCUAACUCCGUGCCAGCAGCCGCGGUAAUAG